This 425-nucleotide ribosomal RNA is filed under the name uncultured bacterium. RNAcentral describes it as "partial 16S ribosomal RNA". It matches the Rfam family "Bacterial small subunit ribosomal RNA", at positions 354 to 796 of the family's 1533-position model. The record is from RNAcentral.
GUGGGGAAUCUUGCGCAAUGGGCGAAAGCCUGACGCAGCCAUGCCGCGUGAAUGAUGAAGGUCUUAGGAUUGUAAAAUUCUUUCACCGGGGACGAUAAUGACGGUACCCGGAGAAGAAGCCCCGGCUAACUUCGUGCCAGCAGCCGCGGUAAUACGAAGGGGGCUAGCGUUGCUCGGAAUUACUGGGCGUAAAGGGCGCGUAGGCGGAUCGUUAAGUCAGGGGUGAAAUCCCAGAGCUCAACUCUGGAACUGCCCUUGAUACUGGCGAUCUUGAGUGUGAGAGAGGUAUGUGGAACUCCGAGUGUAGAGGUGACAUUCGUAGAUAUUCGGAAGAACACCAGUGGCGAAGGCGACAUACUGGCUCAUUACUGACGCUGAGGCGCGAAAGCGUGGGGAGCAAACAGGAUUAGAAACCCUAGUAGUCC